AUGCUUACCUGGCAGGGGAGACACCACGAUCAGGAAGGUGGUUUUCCCAGGGCAAGGCUCAUCCUUUGCACUCCAGGUGUGCUGACCCCUGUCAUUUCCCCAAAUGUGGAAAACUCGACUGUGUAACUUGAAGUAGUGGGGGACUGCAUUCACACUCUCCCCAG
Pogoniulus pusillus (Red-fronted tinkerbird) is the source of this 164-nucleotide small nuclear RNA. RefSeq annotates it as U1 spliceosomal RNA. The record is from RefSeq and is a predicted model, not a curated record. Lineage: Eukaryota; Metazoa; Chordata; Aves; Piciformes; Lybiidae. The transcript has a single exon.